Molecule: long non-coding RNA, 3436 nt
Filed under: Brassica napus (rape)
Lineage: Eukaryota; Viridiplantae; Streptophyta; Magnoliopsida; Brassicales; Brassicaceae
Description: long non-coding RNA (BNAP_LNC021510)
Source: RNAcentral
AGGCUGUGUUUAGGGGGUUCCAAGUAAGAAGACAGUACCAGAAGAUAACAUGGUCGGUGGGAGUUCUUGAGAAGGCGAUUCUGAGGUGGAGACUCAAGAGAAGAGGAUUCAGAGGGCUUCAGGUUAGCCAACCUGAGGAGAAGGAAGGCACUGAAGCGGUGGAGGAUUUCUACAAGACAAGCCAGAAACAAGCAGAGGAUCGGCUAGAGAGAUCAGUGGUUCGAGUCCAGGCCAUGUUCCGGUCCAAGAAGGCUCAGCAAGAUUACAGAAGGAUGAAACUGGCUCAUGAAGAAGCUCAGGUGAAAUUACUUUUGUUUCUUUCUAUUUUCUUAACUCACUACAUAUAAUCUAUUUCAAAAACAUGACACAAUUUCACUUAUAAAUAAUGUGUAACAUGUGACACAGCUGGGUAUGAUGUGAUGCAAGAGCUUGAUCAGAUGGCAUGGAGAGCUGAAUUUCAUAGUAAGGAGAAGUGUUGUGGUACUAUUAGUAAAUAUGUGUAAAUGACAAGGGGUAAUUUCGUCUUUUUGAAGCUGUUUUCAGAAAAGAAGUUUCAACGGUAUCAUGGUAAGAUCAAUCCUGGAGGUGGGAGAUUUUGCUUAGAGAUGUCUUGUCAUAAGUCUUUGUUUGGUAGACGGUGUUAGUUUUUGUAAUGCGUUAUGUGACUUAUAUGUUCAAUAACAAUAUAUAAGAUAUAAUAAGAAGACAAAGAAAAAGGCAAAAUACGUGAAAUCCAGAGUAUACAACUGCACAUCGUCUUCCACAAAACUUUUGUUACAGGCUGAUCUCGAAUUCUUGGUGCUUACACCUUGUGCCGAUGUUGAGUUGGACUUCGAGAUGAAAUAAAUAGGAGUUCCUUGCUUCUAAUCGAGAUUUGAUUUCUAUAGAUUAGAGAACGAAAAUGUAGAUUCUUGUAUUUUUUACCUUGCCUGCUCUAAUCAGUUUGCAACAACUCAAGACAGCGUUCUAUGUGCAUGAACUGAAGUCUUAGCGCAUUUUAAGUGGGAGAUUCUUCCCAAAUUACUCCACCAAAAGAUAUAUUAAAAAAAUUAAAAGCAUGAAAGAAAAAGUAAAAUUGUAGAGAAACUUAGGACUUUAAUCUAUUAUGGAACAAAAGGAUGAAAAAAAUACGGCACCAUCUAAAAUAAUCUCCCAUAGGACAAGGAAGUGGUUAAUGACAAUUUGCCCCAUUAAUGAAAUCAAUAUGAACCCUUAGAUCAGAAUUCUAUGGGAUAUAACGUGAGCCGUCGGAUCAUUAGAAGAAAAUAGAUCAAUAUUUAGAAGAAUGCCAUUAAUGAAACUCUCCCUUAAGCCGUCGGAUUUUCUGUCUUUGUUUUAAUCUUGGCCUUCAGAUCUCACAUCCAAACUCUUCUCUCUCGUCUGGGUCCCACAGAUGCAUUAAUCUUUUUUCUUCUUCUUCAUUUCUCCUACAACCAUACUCAACUACCACGGAAAUUCAUUCUCCUCACCAACAAAAGUUUUCUUCUUCAACUUUUCAUCCACAAACCUUCACCUCUGUUUCUUGGGGAUUUUCGACAGGUUAGGACGCCGUGAAACAGGUCAUGUACGUCGUCCUUAGUUCUGAAAUCGGUUGAUAAGUGUAAACUCUCUCCUUCUCUCUCUCUCUUCUGUUUCUCUCUCUCUCUCUCUCUCUUUAUUGUUGUUUGUUUCGGUUUAGUCAUAUAAACUGUGUGUUAACCAUAUGAGUCAGAUUAUAAAGUUUAAUAUAAUUUGGUUAAAGUAUGAAGCAUGAUAUUGUAGAAUAAAUCAUUUUUGUCUAUGGUACAAUAGGUACAACUAGGUACAACUCUAGUAAAAUGGAAAGUAGUAAAACUGGCAGAACUAGUAUUACUGAUAUUAUUCAUCUGAAACAUACCACUAGUAAACCUGGUAAAACUUGGAGUAACACAUUGAAUAGAUAGUAUUGGUACCACUCGUAUAAAUUAUAGUAGUCAUGGGCAAAGUUGACAUAGUAUAACUGGUCUUACUAGUAUAACUGAUAACUAUUGUUACAUGUAAACUAGUCUAAUUGAUAAUAUUAGUAUAACUGAACUAACUUAUUAAUGAUAAUUUUGGUUUUUAGUCAUUUUCAGGAACUAUGGAUAGUAAUGGGUCUGUGGUGAUACAUUUUGAACAUGGUGAAGAGCAACAUAUUUCUACACUAGUGAUGAAAGGAAGAUAUGAGGAGAUUACUUAUUCUCAGUUGGUUGAUAGAAUAGCCAAGAAAAUGAAGAUCGAUGUAGUUGAGACGAAGCUUCAGUUGAGUUACUUUCCGCUGGUAUUGAAUAAUAAGAGGCCUUGUUAUAUCUUGGAUGAUGAAGAUGUUUUAGGAUAUUUAAUGAAGGUAGAUAAGAAAAACCGACGUAGUGUCUUGCGUGUGGAGCUUAAGGAAAUCGUCGCAGAAAAUCAGAGCAACAAGAUGUUUUCUAUGAAUGAGGAAAAUUACACGAGGUUCUUUUGCAUAUCCUCUUUUCGUUUUAUUAACUUCUUUUCCAUGUUUUACUCUUUGAAAGGGAGAAAAUGGUGGCUGCUCUUCUGUCUGCCGGGGCAAGGCCUAACUUGGUGACAGACCCGACUAAGGAAUACCUCGGCGGCUGCACAGCGGCUGAUAUUGCACAGCAGAAAGGUUACGAGGGUUUAGCAGCUUUUCUUGCAGAGAAAUGUCUUGUAGCACAGUUCAGAGACAUGAAAAUGGCUGGAAACAUCAGUGGUAACCUUGAGGGCGUCAAAGCAGAGACGUCAACAAACCCAGGGCAUUCAAAUGAAGAGGAGCAGAGCCUGAAGGACACUCUGGCGGCAUACAGAACCGCUGCAGAGGCGGCUGCACGGAUCCAGGGGGCCUUCAGAGAGCACGAGCUCAAAGUCAGGUCAAAGGCGGUGCGGUUUGCUAGCAAAGAAGAAGAGGCCAAAAACAUAAUAGCCGCUAUGAAGAUUCAGCAUGCGUUUCGAAAUUACGAGACUCGUAGGAAGAUUGCAGCCGCUGCUCGGAUUCAGUACAGGUUCCAAACAUGGAAAAUGAGGCGGGAGUUUUUGAACAUGCGGAAAAAGGCAAUUAAGAUCCAGGUAAAAAAAGAUUAUAUCGCCAUCAAACUCUGCAAGACUGCUCUUUGCUGCUUUAGAAUACACUAAAGAUGAAUUUGUUUUAUGGUGGUGCAGGCUGUGUUUAGGGGGUUCCAAGUAAGAAGACAGUACCAGAAGAUAACAUGGUCGGUGGGAGUUCUUGAGAAGGCGAUUCUGAGGUGGAGACUCAAGAGAAGAGGAUUCAGAGGGCUUCAGGUUAGCCAACCUGAGGAGAAGGAAGGCACUGAAGCGGUGGAGGAUUUCUACAAGACAAGCCAGAAACAAGCAGAGGAUCGGCUAGAGAGAUCAGUGGUUCGAGUCCAGGCCAUGUUCCGGUCCAAGAAGGCUCAGCAAGAUUACAGAAGGAUGAAACUGG